GCGGUGGCUCAGUGGAAGAACCUCUGCUCUGCACUGCGGAUGGUCCCUGGUUCGAUCUCCGGCAUCGGCA
RNAcentral lists this transfer RNA (70 nucleotides) under Sphaerodactylus townsendi. RNAcentral's name for it is "tRNA-Ala". The record is from RNAcentral. Lineage: Eukaryota; Metazoa; Chordata; Lepidosauria; Squamata; Sphaerodactylidae.